RNAcentral lists this ribosomal RNA (253 nucleotides) under uncultured bacterium. RNAcentral describes it as "partial 16S ribosomal RNA". It matches the Rfam family "Bacterial small subunit ribosomal RNA", at positions 524 to 776 of the family's 1533-position model. The record is from RNAcentral.
UACGAAGGGGGCUAGCGUUGCUCGGAAUCACUGGGCGUAAAGCGCACGUAGGCGGACUCUUAAGUCGGUGGUGAAAUCCUGGAGCUCAACUCCAGAACUGCCUUCGAUACUGAGAGUCUCGAGUCCGGGAGAGGUGAGUGGAACUGCGAGUGUAGAGGUGAAAUGCGCAGAUAUCAGGAAGAACACCAAUGGCGAAAGCAGCUUUCUGGGACGGUACUGACGCUGAGACGCGAAAGCGUGGGGAGCGAACAGG